This 160-nucleotide ribosomal RNA is filed under the name Plasmodium knowlesi. Its description in RNAcentral is "partial 18S ribosomal RNA". The record is from RNAcentral. Lineage: Eukaryota; Apicomplexa; Aconoidasida; Haemosporida; Plasmodiidae.
GUUGUUAGCGAGAGCCACAAAAAAGCGAAUUCCAAUAUAUGUUUUCUGCUUUAUGUGCGCAUCCUCUACCUAUUAAGUGUUAAUUAAAUUAAAGGGUGCUUUUUAGCUCUUCUGCAACUAAUAUAAAGUUGGCUUUGCUCUGGCUUGGCUAUCAACACCA